GUGCUUGCUUCAGCAGCACAGAUUCUAAAAUUGGAACGAUACAGAGAAGAUUAGUGUGGCCCCUAUGCAAGAUGACAUGGAAGUUCAUGAAGCAGUCCAUAUUAAA
Molecule: small nuclear RNA, 106 nt
Filed under: Castor canadensis (American beaver)
Lineage: Eukaryota; Metazoa; Chordata; Mammalia; Rodentia; Castoridae
Source: RNAcentral